This 233-nucleotide ribosomal RNA is filed under the name uncultured bacterium. RNAcentral describes it as "partial 16S ribosomal RNA". It matches the Rfam family "Bacterial small subunit ribosomal RNA", at positions 15 to 240 of the family's 1533-position model. The record is from RNAcentral.
GAUCCUGGCUCAGGACGAACGCUGGCGGCGUGCCUAAUACAUGCAAGUAGAACGCUGAAGGAGGAGCUUGCUUCUCUGGAUGAGUUGCGAACGGGUGAGUAACGCGUAGGUAACCUGCCUGGUAGCGGGGGAUAACUAUUGGAAACGAUAGCUAAUACCGCAUAAUAGUAGAUGUUGCAUGACAUUUACUUAAAAGGUGCAAUUGCAUCACUACCAGAUGGACCUGCGUUGUA